RNAcentral lists this ribosomal RNA (979 nucleotides) under Ferdinandcohnia humi. Its description in RNAcentral is "bacterial SSU rRNA". It matches the Rfam family "Bacterial small subunit ribosomal RNA", at positions 56 to 1035 of the family's 1533-position model. The record is from RNAcentral. Lineage: Bacteria; Bacillati; Bacillota; Bacilli; Caryophanales; Bacillaceae.
UGCAGUCGAGCGAACUUUUGCGUGUAGCUUGCUCCCAAAGGUUAGCGGCGGACGGGUGAGUAACACGUGGGUAACCUGCCUGUAAGACUGGGAUAACUUCGGGAAACCGGAGCUAAUACCGGAUAACAUAUGAGACCGCAUGGUCUCGUAUUAAAAGAUGGCUUCUCGCUAUCACUUACAGAUGGACCCGCGGCGCAUUAGCUAGUUGGUGAGGUAACGGCUCACCAAGGCAACGAUGCGUAGCCGACCUGAGAGGGUGAUCGGCCACACUGGGACUGAGACACGGCCCAGACUCCUACGGGAGGCAGCAGUAGGGAAUCUUCCGCAAUGGACGAAAGUCUGACGGAGCAACGCCGCGUGAGCGAAGAAGGUCUUCGGAUCGUAAAGCUCUGUUGUUAGGGAAGAACAAGUAUCGUUCGAAUAGGGCGGUACCUUGACGGUACCUAACCAGAAAGCCACGGCUAACUACGUGCCAGCAGCCGCGGUAAUACGUAGGUGGCAAGCGUUAUCCGGAAUUAUUGGGCGUAAAGCGCGCGCAGGCGGUCCUUUAAGUCUGAUGUGAAAGCCCACGGCUCAACCGUGGAGGGUCAUUGGAAACUGGGGGACUUGAGUGCAGAAGAGGAGAGCGGAAUUCCACGUGUAGCGGUGAAAUGCGUAGAGAUGUGGAGGAACACCAGUGGCGAAGGCGGCUCUCUGGUCUGUAACUGACGCUGAGCGCGAAAGCGUGGGGAGCGAACAGGAUUAGAUACCCUGGUAGUCCACGCCGUAAACGAUGAGUGCUAAGUGUUAGAGGGUUUCCGCCCUUUAGUGCUGCAGCAAACGCAUUAAGCACUCCGCCUGGGGAGUACGGUCGCAAGACUGAACUCAAGGAAUUGACGGGGGCCCGCCAGCGGUGGACAUGUGGUUUAAUUCGAAGCGCGAAAACUACCAGGUCUGACAUCCUCUGACACUCUAGAUGGAUUUCUUUCUGGAGAAUGAC